ACUGACGGAUCCCGGGUGCGUGCGAGAGAAGACCGGAGCGGUGCAGGCCUGCAGCAGGUGUGUGAACAGAAGAGCGUGUAUGUGCGGGAGAGGGGGUGCCUGCACGUAUCGGCGAGAAGGUGUGCGUGGGAGCGCACGCGCGAUGCAAGACAGCAGGAGCAACAGCCGGCAUCAGAAGAAGUGGGAACUGGAGAUGAGCACUGAGACGGUCUCCAGAUUCCCAGGGGAGGAAUAACACCUUAGAUCGGAAAGCAAACGCCAGACUUGGAGAGCAGAGAGGGUUAAAUACUAGAGCAGCAAAGUGAGUGAGACAGAGACGGACUCCAUUCUGCAACGGAGCUGGACAAAAGCUACACGUGGAGGGCACCCCAGGCAGAGCAACAGGGCGUCUGCCUAAGGUGUGCGGGGCCAAACCCAGCAUUGUGCUUGGCUCCGAGGGAGAGAGCUUUUCCAGGCGCACACAUCUGCCAUUGUGACAAAAGAGAUGCAGAAAAUUACUGUAUCAUGGGGAUACAGUGGUCACGUCUGCCUUUGGGAAGAGGUGCCCGGCUCUGAAGGUUCACCCAGCCCAAACACAAGUCACUUCGAUAGCACCAAGGUGGUGAGAAGGAGCAAUGAAACACGGGUAUAAAUCCACGUCGAUGCUAGAACCUCCCCCAGCCAAGAGACCAAGAAACCUCACCUCCAACAAGGAGAAGAAAAUCAUGUCAGCCCCUCGUAAGAGAGCUGUCGGUGCAUGAUUUGCAGAACUGGAAAGCCAAUGCCAAGACUGAGUUAUUCCCCUUUUGUGUGCUGCUUCAUACAUACCACAUUAUGAUCCUGAUAUGUUCAAUCUAUUGUACUGCACAGUGAUUAUUUCUGCUCAUCCAGGAACUUUCCAAUUAUAUGAACUAGUAGUAAUUAUUUGGUAAUUACAUUUCAUAACUAUAUUGCAAUCAAACUAAUUUCACUUCAAUUACAGUGCCCUUAUUAUGAAAUGUGA
Long non-coding RNA from Alligator mississippiensis (American alligator), 982 nucleotides. RefSeq lists it as uncharacterized. The record is from RefSeq and is a predicted model, not a curated record. The transcript is spliced from 2 exons. Lineage: Eukaryota; Metazoa; Chordata; Crocodylia; Alligatoridae.